RNAcentral lists this long non-coding RNA (1236 nucleotides) under Malus domestica (apple). Its description in RNAcentral is "long non-coding RNA (MDOM_LNC007420)". Lineage: Eukaryota; Viridiplantae; Streptophyta; Magnoliopsida; Rosales; Rosaceae. The record is from RNAcentral.
AGAAGCCAUCUGUCUGUUAUUCACGUCCAAAGGAGGAAACAGCCCAUGAUGACCUUGAAAAUUCCAUAGAAUCUGCUCCUACAAAAGUCUGUGUGCCACUCAUGCACUCUCCCGAGACUCCAAGGCAACCCGCUAAGCAGCAAGAAUGCAUGAAUACUCUGACAAAUCUAAUUACAGGACAGCUGCUUACUGAUCAGAAAAUUUUAGUGGCGGUAACAGACAGUGCACCUGCACAGCCCAUCAAAUUCAAAGAAAUGCCAGAUGAGUCAUGCAAACAGGCAAAGAUCUAUAUGGAAAAGAGGAAGCUUAUUGACAGCCAAGUUCCUCGUAGAAAAUUUCAGCCAGUGCAGAAACUAUGGGUGUUAAAUACACGAUUUAAGUCAGCUCGAUGGAGAAAUAAACAUAGCUGUUAAAUACACGAUUUAAGUCAGCUCGAUGGAGAAAUAAACAUAGCUGGAAAGGAACCUAUAUCUUUACAAAGAUUCAUUCAAAAAGAAAGGCGUAUAAGAAGAAUUCAACCAUUAAAUUUGGAAGCACAGUGCUCUAUGACGUUAUUAAAGAGUGGUUAACUUUGAAAGAACAAGUGACAUGAUCAACAAUUCUUUCCGCUACGUCUAGCUAUAGACUUUAACUAAAGCGCUAAUUGGGAGGCAACCCAAUUUUUCUAACUCUUUUCUUCUUAUUUCGUUUAUUUUAUUUUCCUGUUUUUAUUCCUAAUUACAAAAAUCACAAAAAUAAAAAAAUCAGAAAAUUGAAAAAAAAAUUGCAGUUUUUAAUUCUUGUUAUUUUUCUUUACUUAUCUAAUUUGGUUUUUUAUUGCAGGUUGCAUUCAGAACUGAUUCGGCCUAAUCCCAACUAAGGGGGUGCAAUCAACAUUUAUUCCCCCAGCACAUUCAUCAUCAAUUCCUCUACAUUCAUGAGAUUAGGCAGUGCGGAGUGCAGAAACAAAGUUGAGGGAUCUAAGUGGCACAGAGAAUAAGACAUGAUGAAUUUAUAGAUCUCUUCAUGCAUGACGAACAAGCCAAUUCAACAUACUGAGGCACUGAGACCAUAUACACAUUUUUAUUCACAUAUUCUUAUCAAACAUAGUUGCAAGGAUAUAGAAGCAUACCUUUUCAAUGAGGAUCUGUGAGUCUCGAUUUUUCCAUGGAAACACACAUGCAUUGGGCAAUUUUCAUUCAUUUUUCCCUAAUCUAAGCACUUGAGACAAAAAUCGAAGGGAGAUGGAGAUAAAAA